UACGUAGGGGGCAAGCGUUGUCCGGAUUUAUUGGGCGUAAAGAGCUCGUAGGUGGUUCGGUAAGUCGGAUGUGAAAUCUCCAGGCUCAACCUGGAGGGUCAUUCGAUACUGCCGUGACUAGAGUUCGGUAGGGGAGUGUGGAAUUCCUGGUGGAGCGGUGAAAUGCGCAGAUAUCAGGAGGAACACCCGUAGCGAAGGCGGCACUCUGGGCCGAUACUGACACUGAGGAGCGAAAGCGUGGGGAGCGAACAGG
This 253-nucleotide ribosomal RNA is filed under the name uncultured bacterium. Its description in RNAcentral is "partial 16S ribosomal RNA". It matches the Rfam family "Bacterial small subunit ribosomal RNA", at positions 524 to 776 of the family's 1533-position model. The record is from RNAcentral.